RNAcentral lists this ribosomal RNA (496 nucleotides) under uncultured bacterium. RNAcentral's name for it is "partial 16S ribosomal RNA". It matches the Rfam family "Bacterial small subunit ribosomal RNA", at positions 28 to 506 of the family's 1533-position model. The record is from RNAcentral.
GAUGAACGCUGGCGGCGUGCCUAAUACAUGCCAGUCGAGCGAACAGACGAGGAGCUUGCUCCUCUGACGUUAGCGGCGGACGGGUGAGUAACACGUGGAUAACCUACCUAUAAGACUGGGAUAACUUCGGGAAACCGGAGCUAAUACCGGAUAAUAUAUUGAACCGCAUGGUUCAAUAGUGAAAGACGGUUUUGCUGUCACUUAUAGAUGGAUCCGCGCCGCAUUAGCUAGUUGGUAAGGUAACGGCUUACCAAGGCGACGAUGCGUAGCCGACCUGAGAGGGUGAUCGGCCACACUGGAACUGAGACACGGUCCAGACUCCUACGGGAGGCAGCAGUAGGGAAUCUUCCGCAAUGGGCGAAAGCCUGACGGAGCAACGCCGCGUGAGUGAUGAAGGUCUUCGGAUCGUAAAACUCUGUUAUUAGGGAAGAACAAAUGUGUAAGUAACUAUGCACGUCUUGACGGUACCUAAGCAGAAAGCCACGGCUAACUACGU